UACAGAGGUCUCAAGCGUUGUUCGGAUUCAUUGGGCGUAAAGGGUGCGUAGGCGGCGCGGUAAGUCGGAUGUGAAAUCUCGGAGCUUAACUCCGAAACUGCAUUCGAUACCGCCGUGCUUGAGGACUGGAGAGGAGACUGGAAUUUACGGUGUAGCGGUGAAAUGCGUAGAUAUCGUAAGGAAGACCAGUGGCGAAGGCGGGUCUCUGGACAGUUCCUGACGCUGAGGCACGAAGGUCAGGGGAGCAAACGGG
RNAcentral lists this ribosomal RNA (253 nucleotides) under uncultured bacterium. RNAcentral's name for it is "partial 16S ribosomal RNA". It matches the Rfam family "Bacterial small subunit ribosomal RNA", at positions 524 to 776 of the family's 1533-position model. The record is from RNAcentral.